Pelobates cultripes (western spadefoot toad) is the source of this 207-nucleotide non-coding RNA. NCBI's taxonomy places the organism in Eukaryota, Metazoa, Chordata, Amphibia, Anura, Pelobatidae. The record is from the annotation of a GenBank genome assembly.
GCUGAUUAUUGCGUUUUGCCGCGCAUGCUCAAUAGACUACCAAUGAUUUCCAAUGAUGGGAAAGCAUUGGAUUGGCUGAGAUCAGCAAGGCUGAUGAUAUCAGCCAUGGAGGCGGAGCCAGCCAGGGCAAAACAAGCGCAUUGAUGAAAAAAAAAGGUAACUAAUGAGGGUGGCCAGACAGUCCAGCACUACAUGUUUGUAUUACUA